AGCAACCAAGCAGGCGCAAGAAGCAACCAGCCGCGCUAUCCGCUCCCGUUGCUACCGGAAUGCCUCUUCAGGUUAGCGAUUACAGCUGGCAGCAGACGAAGACUGCGGUCUUUCUGUCUCUGCCCCUCAAAGGCGUGUGCGUCAGAGACACGGACGUGUUCUGCACGGAAAACUAUCUGAAGGUCAACUUUCCUCCAUUUUUAUUUGAGGCAUUUCUUUAUGCUCCCAUAGACGAUGAGAGCAGCAAAGCAAAGAUUGGGAAUGACACCAUUGUCUUCACCUUGUAUAAAAAAGAAGCGGCCAUGUGGGAGACCCUUUCUGUGACGGGUGUUGACAAAGAGAUGAUGCAAAGAAUUAGAGAAAAAUCUAUUUUACAAGCACAAGAGAGAGCAAAAGAAGCUACAGAAGCAAAAGCUGCAGCAAAGCGGGAAGAUCAAAAAUACGCACUAAGUGUCAUGAUGAAGUGGCUACACAAACAAGCUGAGGCACGAAGAGCAAUGAAUACUGACAUAGCUGAACUUUGCGAUUUAAAAGAAGAAGAAAAGAACCCAGAAUGGUUGAAGGAUAAAGGAAACAAAUUGUUUGCAACGGAAAACUAUUUGGCAGCUAUCAAUGCAUAUAAUUUAGCCAUAAGACUAAAUAAUAAGAUGCCACUAUUGUAUUUGAACCGGGCUGCUUGCCACCUAAAACUAAAAAACUUACACAAGGCUAUUGAAGAUUCUUCUAAGGCACUGGAAUUAUUGAUGCCACCUGUUACAGACAAUGCUAAUGCAAGAAUGAAGGCACAUGUACGACGUGGAACAGCAUUCUGUCAACUAGAAUUGUAUGUAGAAGACCUGAAAGAUGUCUGAAAAUUCCAGUGACAGUGAUUCAUCUUGUGGUUGGACUGUCAUCAGUCAUGAGGGGUCAGAUAUAGAAAUGUUGAAUUCUGUGACCCCCACUGACAGCUGUGAGCCCGCCCCAGAAUGUUCAUCUUUAGAGCAAGAGGAGCUUCAAGCAUUGCAGAUAGAGCAAGGAGAAAGCAGCCAAAAUGGCACAGUGCUUAUGGAAGAAACUGCUUAUCCAGCUUUGGAGGAAACCAGCUCAACAAUUGAGGCAGAGGAACAAAAGAUACCCGAAGACAGUAUCUAUAUUGGAACUGCCAGUGAUGAUUCUGAUAUUGUUACCCUUGAGCCACCUAAGUUAGAAGAAAUUGGAAAUCAAGAAGUUGUCAUUGUUGAAGAAGCACAGAGUUCAGAAGACUUUAACAUGGGCUCUUCCUCUAGCAGCCAGUAUACUUUCUGUCAGCCAGAAACUGUAUUUUCAUCUCAGCCUAGUGACGAUGAAUCAAGUAGUGAUGAAACCAGUAAUCAGCCCAGUCCUGCCUUUAGACGACGCCGUGCUAGGAAGAAGACCGUUUCUGCUUCAGAAUCUGAAGACCGGCUAGUUGCUGAACAAGAAACUGAACCUUCUAAGGAGUUGAGUAAACGUCAGUUCAGUAGUGGUCUCAAUAAGUGUGUUAUACUUGCUUUGGUGAUUGCAAUCAGCAUGGGAUUUGGCCAUUUCUAUGGCACAAUUCAGAUUCAGAAGCGUCAACAGUUAGUCAGAAAGAUACAUGAAGAUGAAUUGAAUGAUAUGAAGGAUUAUCUUUCCCAGUGUCAACAGGAACAAGAAUCUUUUAUAGAUUAUAAGUCAUUGAAAGAAAAUCUUGCAAGGUGUUGGACACUUACUGAAGCAGAGAAGAUGUCCUUUGAAACUCAGAAAACGAACCUUGCUACAGAAAAUCAGUAUUUAAGAGUAUCCUUGGAGAAGGAAGAAAAAGCCUUAUCCUCAUUACAGGAAGAGUUAAACAAACUAAGAGAACAGAUUAGAAUAUUGGAAGAUAAAGGGACAAGUACUGAAUUAGUUAAAGAAAAUCAGAAACUUAAGCAGCAUUUGGAAGAGGAAAAGCAGAAAAAACACAGCUUUCUUAGUCAAAGGGAGACUCUGUUGACAGAAGCAAAGAUGCUAAAGAGAGAACUGGAGAGAGAACGACUAGUAACUACGGCUUUAAGGGGGGAACUCCAGCAGUUAAGUGGUAGUCAGUUACAUGGCAAGUCAGAUUCUCCCAAUGUAUAUACUGAAAAAAAGGAAAUAGCAAUCUUACGGGAAAGACUCACUGAGCUGGAACGGAAGCUAACCUUCGAACAGCAGCGUUCUGAUUUGUGGGAAAGAUUGUAUGUUGAGGCAAAAGAUCAAAAUGGAAAACAAGGAACAGAUGGAAAAAAGAAAGGGGGCAGAGGAAGCCACAGGGCUAAAAAUAAGUCAAAGGAAACAUUUUUGGGUUCAGUUAAGGAAACAUUUGAUGCCAUGAAGAAUUCUACCAAGGAGUUUGUAAGGCAUCAUAAAGAGAAAAUUAAGCAGGCUAAAGAAGCUGUGAAGGAAAAUCUGAAAAAAUUCUCAGAUUCAGUUAAAUCCACUUUCAGACACUUUAAAGAUACCACCAAGAAUAUCUUUGAUGAAAAGGGUAAUAAAAGAUUUGGUGCUACAAAAGAAGCAGCUGAAAAACCAAGAACAGUUUUUAGUGACUAUUUACAUCCACAGUAUAAGGCACCUACAGAAAACCAUCAUAAUAGAGGCCCUACUAUGCAAAAUGAUGGAAGGAAAGAAAAGCCAGUUCACUUUAAAGAAUUCAGAAAAAAUACAAAUUCAAAGAAAUGCAGUCCUGGGCAUGAUUGUAGAGAAAAUUCUCAUUCUUUCAGAAAGGCUUGUUCUGGUGUAUUUGAUUGUGCUCAACAAGAGUCCAUGAGCCUUUUUAACACAGUGGUGAAUCCUAUAAGGAUGGAUGAAUUUAGACAGAUAAUUCAAAGGUACAUGUUAAAAGAACUGGAUACUUUUUGUCACUGGAACGAACUUGAUCAGUUCAUCAAUAAGUUUUUCCUAAACGGUGUCUUUAUACAUGAUCAGAAGCUCUUCACUGACUUUGUUAAUGAUGUUAAAGAUUAUCUUAGAAACAUGAAGGAAUAUGAAGUAGAUAAUGAUGGAGUAUUUGAGAAGUUGGAUGAAUAUAUAUAUAGACACUUCUUUGGUCACACUUUUUCCCCUCCAUAUGGACCCAGGUCGGUUUACAUAAAACCGUGUCAUUACAGUAGUUUGUAACAUUUGUAGAUUGGAUAGCAUUUUUAUGAUUUGAUGAGUUUCUUGUAAGGUUACCGUUUCUAAGAGUUGUGCUUUAUGGCCACUGAGAGAAUUCAGAAUAAAUUGAAAGAUGGAGUCUAAAAAUUAUUAGCUGUUACAAAUGGAACAUUUCAUUAUAACGUGAUCACUUUGACUUGAGCAAAUGGUUUAAUUUUUAUCUUAAAAAUCAGUUAAGAAUAUAUAAAAUCCUACUUUGGCCAAGUUUGUUUCUUUUCAUUAUAGUUUAUAUGAAAAGAUCACCUUAAGUGAAAUUAUUUUCCUUUAAUCUUUUAUGUAUUUAUUCACUUUUGGAAGCUAGGAAUGAGCAACACAAAUUUUACUCUGAAGUCAGAAGAGCUCAUAUAUAAUAAUUCUAAUGUCCCACCUAUUUUCACUUGUCCAUUCCAUGUACCAGCUUAGUUAUGAUACUUAGUCACAUAAUUAUCUUUGAUAAAGGUAGAGGCACAAAGAGGCAAACUAAGCAAGUCAAAUUCUAAUGUGUGUACUUCAUAAUAAUUUUUUAUCCAUUUUCAUCUUUAUAUUCUGUAACAUGAAACUUACCUAAUCUUCAAAUGUUAGCUUCAUUUUUUACCUUUGAAAUACUUAAUCUUUCUGAAUAAAUAUAAUGUGUCUAUAAAAUAAUGAGACUGAUUCUGGUGUCUUUAGUCAUUAAGCUGGUAUCUAGUCCUAUAAUGAACAAAGGUGAAGCUGCCUUGAGGAGACAAGUGAAAAAUUUUUGCUUCAAAGGAGCUCACAAGCUAAGUAAAUAAAUGAAAUUAAGGUAUGGGGCAUGGUGGCCUCAGGCUGUCUGGAGGUGUUUGGAAAGGCUUCUUGAGUGAGGUGGCCUUUGAACUGAACUUAGUUUUUAAAGUAGCUUUUGGAAGAGAAAUGAGGAUUUGCUAUGCAGACAGGGAAGGGAAUUUCACUUAAAAGGAAGGUCAUUUGGAGAUGUGAAGAUACACUGCUUUAAGGAAGCAGGGUAGAGCUGGAGGAUAAGAGAUGCAGACCAUGAAGGGCCCCAUUUUAUGCUAAAGGUUUUGUCCUGUAGGACAUGGAGAACUUCUGAAGAAUUUUCAAGGCGGGUGGGAUAAGAUUAUAUUGUAUUUUAGAUUACAGUAGUCCCCCCUUAUCUUCAGGAUAUAUGUUCCA
Molecule: long non-coding RNA, 4284 nt
Filed under: Homo sapiens (human)
Lineage: Eukaryota; Metazoa; Chordata; Mammalia; Primates; Hominidae
Description: non-protein coding lnc-DNAAF4-2:4
Source: RNAcentral